RNAcentral lists this ribosomal RNA (253 nucleotides) under uncultured bacterium. Its description in RNAcentral is "partial 16S ribosomal RNA". It matches the Rfam family "Bacterial small subunit ribosomal RNA", at positions 524 to 776 of the family's 1533-position model. The record is from RNAcentral.
UACAGAGGGUGCGAGCGUUAAUCGGAAUUACUGGGCGUAAAGGGUGCGUAGGUGGAAACUUAAGUCAGGUGUGAAAUCCCAGGGCUCAACCUUGGACUUGCGCUUGAGACUGAGUAACUAGAGUUCUAGAGAGGAAUGUGGAAUUUCCGGUGUAGCGGUGAAAUGCGUAGAUAUCGGAAGGAACACCAGUGGCGAAGGCGACAUUCUGGCUAGUGACUGACACUGAGGCACGAAAGCGUGGGGAGCAAACAGG